This 2163-nucleotide long non-coding RNA is filed under the name Chinchilla lanigera (long-tailed chinchilla). RNAcentral describes it as "lncRNA (ENSCLAG00000026736.1)". The record is from RNAcentral. Lineage: Eukaryota; Metazoa; Chordata; Mammalia; Rodentia; Chinchillidae.
GAGGAGGAGGGGGAGUAAGAAGUAAGAUAUAUUCUGUACGUGCACCUACUCCCCACAUUGAAUGUAGUCAUUGUGUACUGCAAACAUGUACUAAAAAAACGGUGAAUUGUUGUAAUUUAUAUCUAGCUGUCCCUCCAAAACCUCAUGAGCUCAGAGGGGGGCUUUUGGAAGGAGAUUGCAUUACUGCAAUCAUUACUGCUCAGAGGGGGGCUUUAUAGCUGACUUGCUGAUAGGAGGUAGGGUCUUGUUGGAAGAGGUGGUUGUCUGGGGGGCUCCUGGGGGGAUUAUUUCCCCCUGGGAACCUCCCUUCACUCUGCUCCUGUCUGCCAUGCUGUGGGCAGCCCUUGCCACUGUGCCCCUCUCCCAUGGCAUCCUGCAGUGGGUUCAGCUGACUAUGGACUGAAAUCUGAGGCAAACCAAACCCGUCCUCCCUUAAAUUGUCAGUGUCAGGUAUUUUGUCCAAGCCACAAGGCAAGUGACAAAGACGUGGAUCAUAGCUGUCUUGCAAGGCAGUUAUGAGAAUUAACAUAUGUGAAUUACAUGGUCUGUGUUUGCCAUUAGUCAUUACUUAAGCCUUAAUAUCUCUGAAAGUGUCAAGCAGUUCCAUGAAUUCAACUCUGUUUCUGGCAUUUAUUAACCUUAGAGCAGACUCCUGUGUUGUUUGCUUUUGAAAUAUUUUUCAUAUGUCUUCAUUUCUCAAUCUAAAAGUUCUCUCAAAAUGUCUAGUUCCUCCACAAUUCUGCUUCAGGGGUCAGGCUGUUCUUAUCCUCAGAUCCAUGUCAGAUCCAUGUUGGAAAUCCAUUUUUAAUCCAUUCCAGAUGUGAAGACAGCCGUGACAGCACAACUAAAGACAGUCACGGAAGAGGACUCCCAGACCUGCUUCAGAAAGCAGCAAGAAUGAUGGGUAGCACCAAGGGGAUUCAGAGUCACCGGCAUGGAAGAGAGUUGGAAGAGUUUGGAAAUCCCAAAGGAAACACUAAUUUGCUCCACAAAUUUGCCACCGUCAGCUUUUCCAGUGACCCAGCUGACACUUCAUUGCAGCUUUCUAGUAUCUCUUUAGUCUCUGUGGCUUUGUUUUCCCACCUUCAAAGUGAUAGAAAUAGCGUCAGGUCAGUGUUCUCGAAGAGAGUCUGCGCAAGUAUUCAUGUGAUUUAUUAUUCAUGAUAGCAUUGCUGUACACGCCCCAUGGGGUCAGGCAGUUAGGAGAGGGCUGUGCUUGAAAGCAAGAGGUUUAGAGCCACAGACGGUGGGCAGAAGCCCAGCUUCACUGUUUACUCCCUGAGCGACCUUAGGCAAGUCACUGACUCUUUUUGAAACUGUGCUUGCUCUCUCUGUAAAAUGACAGUAGUAAUAAUUUCUCCAUCAUAGGGCUGCCACACAAUUAAAUAGUCUUUGGUAUUUAAGUGCUCUAUAAAAAUCUUUUGUAUGAUGUUACAAGUAGUAAUGGAAGCCGGAUGUAGUGGCACACACCUGUAAUCCCAGCACUCGGGAGGCUGAGGCAGGAGGAUUGUCGUGAGUUCAAGGCCAGCCUGGGCUACAAAGUGAGUUCAAAGCCAGCCUGAACUGCAUAGUGAAACCCCGUCUCAAAAAGACAAAAAAAAAAGUAUUAAUGGAGACUAAAGGAGGUGGGGACCACAUUAGUAAUGAAAGUUCUCAAGAUAGAGAGAUGACACUUACUAGAGAAGCUGUAGGAUGCUUUUCUGAAGAAGCUCCAAGGCACACACACAUUGCUGCAGUUCCCAGAACACCUGCCUUUGCCAGGGCCCUGUGCUACAGCACAGUGGGUAUGCUGCGUAAGUGACAGGAACUGAUGACUAUGUUCCCUCUUUCAACCCUUCCUUCGCUAGCUACUAAACAGCAGAGGUGAAAAGCAACUGGCAGCAGGUGUGGUGGCCUGUAGUCCAUAGCUAGAUUGAGGCUGAGGCAGGAGGAUCACUUGAACCCAGGUGUCUGAGACCAGCCUGGGUAAUAUAGCGACACCCAACUAAAAACAACAAACAAACAAAAAAGCAGCAAAACAACGUCCUCACCAAGGUCUGUAAUAUAGAAGUAGACUGGAUUCAAAUCCUCAGUCUAAUGUUUACCAGUUUUUUAACCUAAGGCAAGGUUUCUCUGUCUCUCAUCUAUAAAGGAAGGAUAAUGAUCUGUACCACCCCACAGGAU